UUUCCGUAGGUGAACCUGCGGAAGGAUCAUUAAAGUUAUAGUCCCCCGGCCCUCCGGCCGGGGUCCUCUAUACCACCCUUUGUUUAUCACACCUUUGUUGCUUUGGCAGGCCUGCCCUCGGGCUGCUGGCUCCGGCCGGCGAGCGCCUGCCAGAGGACCUAAACUCUGUUUGUCUAUAAUGUCUGAGUACUAUAUAAUAGUUAAAACUUUCAACAACGGAUCUCUUGGCUCUG
RNAcentral lists this unclassified non-coding RNA (233 nucleotides) under plant metagenome. RNAcentral's name for it is "partial contains small subunit ribosomal RNA, internal transcribed spacer 1, and 5.8S ribosomal RNA". The record is from RNAcentral.